Molecule: ribosomal RNA, 504 nt
Filed under: uncultured bacterium
Lineage: Bacteria
Description: partial 16S ribosomal RNA
Rfam family: Bacterial small subunit ribosomal RNA
Source: RNAcentral
GAUAAACGCUAGCGGCAGGCUUAACACAUGCAAGUCGAGGGGCAGCAUAGAUUGUAGCAAUACAAUUGGUGGCGACCGGCGCACGGGUGCGUAACGCGUAUGCAACCUACCCGUCACAGGGGGAUAAUCCGGAGAAAUCUGGUCUAAUACCCCAUAACAUAUGGAUCGGCAUCGGUUCAUGUUGAAAUUUUAGGAGGUGACGGAUGGGCAUGCGUAGCAUUAGUUUGUUGGUGAGGUAACGGCUCACCAAGGCGACGAUGCGUAGGGGGACUGAGAGGUUUUCCCCCCACACUGGUACUGAGACACGGACCAGACUCCUACGGGAGGCAGCAGUGAGGAAUAUUGGUCAAUGGGCGCAAGCCUGAACCAGCCAUGCCGCGUGCAGGAUGACGGCUCUAUGAGUUGUAAACUGCUUUUGUACGAGGGUAAAGUGGGUUACGUGUAACCUUUUGAAAGUAUCGUACGAAUAAGGAUCGGCUAACUCCGUGCCAGCCGCCGCGGUAA